Hippocampus comes (tiger tail seahorse) is the source of this 1440-nucleotide long non-coding RNA. RefSeq lists it as uncharacterized. The record is from RefSeq and is a predicted model, not a curated record. Lineage: Eukaryota; Metazoa; Chordata; Actinopteri; Syngnathiformes; Syngnathidae. The transcript is spliced from 5 exons.
CUCGUGCUUGAAUGGUUUUUCUAUGGGUACUCUUGCUUAUUAAUGCAAACAGAGACUAUAAAAAAAAUAACAUAUAUGAACUGGUUAUCAUUAACCCUCUCAUGCACCCCAUAACCUGAUAACAAGCUGUCCACUGUAGGAACCGCUGUCCCUGAAAGGGUUACGCUAAAAGUCACACACAGACUAGUAUUCAUGCGUUGAAGUUGGUGUGUGGCUUUAAGGGGCGUGGCUUUGUGGGUGACAUUUAGGAGCUCCGACUUCAGCUUCGGUUGGCCAUUGACUUUGCGGUUAGUUCAAUGCUAGCAUCUUCUCCAUGCUCCUUGCCAGCGUUUUCAUUUUGUAUUUGUGUGUUUGACCGCCUCGUUCACAGGGUAUUGGCAGGUAACAAAACACCACCCCAUCAUGCCAUUCCACGAAGCGCCGCUUCAGCGCGACCCGCCCGCCGCAACACGCGGCGCUUUGCAAGUCAAUACAGUCAAGAGAAGCUGACAAGAGGCGAGGCGCAACGUGUAAUAAAUGACAUUUUGCCGUCAGCUCUGGCGAGCGUGCACCUGACAACCGCUGUCGUCCGCAGUCGUUUUCAUGUGACGCCUGGCUGUUAUGCGGAAAGUGGGAUUCAUUUGGCGCGACUGUCUGGCGCAGAUGCUGAUAUUACAAAUGGGCACAGCUGGAAAAGAUCCACCACCCAGGCAGACAGAGCCAGGCUCACACUUCUCACCGCUGAUACCUCCCCCAAGCACUGGCAUCUCUCCUCCUCCCUGCUACAUGAUGCUCAUGCUCAUUCACAGACAAUCACGGCGGCUACUAGAGACUGGGAUAAAAUCGGAUAGGGCAUUUGACGGAUUUAGGGCUGGGACUUAAUGGAGUGCACCUGCCAGGCAACAGCUGAUUGGACGCCGGCCGCUAAUGCUGCUUCACCCCCCCUCUCGCUGAGCAGCGCGGCUUUCAUUCAUUAAGGCCCGCAGGUAAGAUUGUCUGUCUGCUGAGAAGCCUUCAGCAUCUGCUCCCGCCCGGACCCUCGUCAUAACCUGACCAGGAUGUUUAAAGCGCAUGUCCGACUGCUGUGUUUUGACUUGCUGGAAGUGCUGUUUAAUGACAAUGGACUGCUUGUUCUGUUCACGGCGCAGAUUCUAAUCAAAGCUUUCAUCAAUAAUGGAUGGAGGAUCUAAUUGUGGGUGUACAGCUAGGCUGGGGGGGGGUGUCCCCUUGUAGGCUUUAAUUAGAGACCACUCGGAUGGGAUCUUGGGUGUUUUUGACUGUUGCUGAGUAACUCUAAUGCUGUGAUCAGUUUUCGGCUGGAAAAGAAAAAGGCGGUUGGAAAUAAUGAGAGAGAGUCUCAGUUUUUGAUUACAAACUACAUUGAAAAGCUACACUUUAGGACUUGUUUUUUUCCUUAUGCAAAACCAAAUAAUUUUACGGUUGUUUUUAAAAAAUAUAUUU